CAUUACCUAGAGUUGUAGGCUUUGCCUGCUAUCUCUUACCCAUGUCUUUUGAGUACUUACGUUUCCUCGGUGGGUUCGCCCGCCGAAGACAAUCUAUAAACCUUUGCAGUUGCAAUCAGCGUCUGAAAAAAACAUAAUAAUUACAACUUUCAACAACGGAUCUCUUGGUUCUGGCAUCGAUGAAGAACGCAGCGAAAUGCGAUAAGUAGUGUGAAUUGCAGAAUUCAGUGAAUCAUCGAAUCUUUGAACGCACAUUGCGCCCCUUGGUAUUCCAUGGGGCAUGCCUGUUCGAGCGUCAUUUGUACCUUCAAGCUUUGCUUGGUGUUGGGUGUUUGUCUUGCCUUUGCGUGUAGACUCGCCUUAAAACAAUUGGCAGCCGGCGUGUUGAUUUCGGAGCGCAGUACAUCUCGCGCUUUGCACUCAUAACGACGACGUCCAAAAGUACAUUUUUACACUCUUGACC
Molecule: ribosomal RNA, 463 nt
Filed under: Phoma sp. DB 19042007
Lineage: Eukaryota; Fungi; Ascomycota; Dothideomycetes; Pleosporales; Didymellaceae
Description: eukaryotic LSU rRNA
Rfam family: 5.8S ribosomal RNA (bases 145-298)
Source: RNAcentral